This 618-nucleotide small RNA is filed under the name uncultured fungus. Its description in RNAcentral is "eukaryotic LSU rRNA". The stretch from base 237 to 394 matches the Rfam family "5.8S ribosomal RNA". The record is from RNAcentral. Lineage: Eukaryota; Fungi.
AGAGGAAGUAAAAGUCGUAACAAGGUUUCCGUAGGUGAACUUGCGGAAGGAUCAUUACAAGUCGAGGCUACCGAACGUUGGAAACAGCGGUUAGGAGCUUACACCCACCCGUGUCGUACAUACUAUUGUUCGCUUCGGCGGGCCGUGGCCUCCACUGCGGGCUCUGCUCGUGUGUGCCCGCCAGAUGCUACCAAACUCUGAAUGUUAGUGAUGUCUGAGUACUAUCUAAUAGUUAAAACUUUCAACAACGGAUCUCUUGGUUCUGGCAUCGAUGAAGCAACGCAGCCGACAAUGCGAAUAAGUAAUGUGAAUAGCAGAAUCCAGUGAAUCAUCGAAUCUUUGAACGCACAUUGCGCCCUGUGGUAUUCCGAAGGGCAUGCCUGUUCGAGCGUCAUUAAACCACUCACGCCUAGCGUGGUAUGGGGGCACGCGGUCUUCGCGGCCCAUCAAAAUUAGUGGCGGCGCCGGUGGGCUCUAAGCGUAUUACAUACUCCCGCUAUAUAGUUCACCCCGGUGGCUCAGCCAAGAACCCCCAAUACUUGACUAGUGUUGACCUCGGAUACUAGAGUAUGAGGAUAUCCCGCGUGAACUUAAGUCAUAUCUAAUAUAGCGGAGAGA